RNAcentral lists this ribosomal RNA (253 nucleotides) under uncultured bacterium. RNAcentral describes it as "partial 16S ribosomal RNA". It matches the Rfam family "Bacterial small subunit ribosomal RNA", at positions 524 to 776 of the family's 1533-position model. The record is from RNAcentral.
UACGUAGGAGGCAAGCGUUAUCCGGAAUGACUGGGCGUAAAGGGUGCGUAGGUGGUUUGGCAAGUUAGUAGCGUAACUCCGGAGCUCAACUUCGGAACUACUACUAAAACUGUCGGACUUGAGUGCAGGAGGGGCAACUGGAAUUUCUAGUGUAGCGGUGGAAUGCGUAGAUAUUAGGAAGAACACCGGUGGCGAAGGCGAGUUGCUGGACUGUAACUGACACUGAGGCACGAAAGCGUGGGGAGCAAACAGG